CAGAAGAUGACAGCAUAUUUACAGACACUGCAAGAUUAUUAAUAUAAAAAAUAUUUCAAAGCCAGUAAACUUUCAAAAUAAACAAUCCUUAAUUAUUUCUUAUAAACCAGAGAGAAAGCUAAACAGGCCUCUAGCCUCCAACCCAAAGUUACCAGGGAAGCUGAAAAAAUACUGGAAAAAAUGAAGGAACUAGAAACUACAGUAAAUGCAGCCCAAAUAGAAAUUGGAAAGAAAGAAAGAAAUGCCAAAAUAAUUGAAGCUGAAAUUCAAGAAUCAUAUAUACGUCUUCAAACAUUGUCUGAUGCAAAUGCUAGAGAAAAACUGGAAUUAAUGGAACAUAUUUCUGAGUUGAAGAAACUAGCUGACCUCUCCAGCCAGCAUGUUUCAAACAAAAAAGUUGAACUGGAAAAAGUUCAGCAAGAAAUCCAGCAGACUAUAAAUUCGGUGAAGGAAAAAGAUCAUGAUAUCCAUGUUUUAGAAGCUCAGAUUCAGCAGCAGAUACAGCAGCACCGGGAUAUGGAAGGAAAACUUACAGAAAGCAGAUCAGAAUUCAUAAGACUUCAGGCAUUAUUUCAUCAGCUAAAAGAAAAUUUCCUUAUUGGUUCCCAGCCCACUCAACAGUCUAUUGCAAAAAGGCUUUGUGAAGAUACUGAAAAAUUGAGACAAGUCCUCAAAGAAAAAGAGCUUUCAGCUGAUGAAGAUAAAUANUUAUGUAACAAGAUGGUAGAAGACUGUGCACAUCUGACAAGGAAAAAUGGUCUCUUACAUGCUCAGGUGCUGGAAGCCACCAGAGAAUUAAGCAGAGAGAAACAGUUGAGAGAGGAAGAGGGUAACUACCAUUCAAGGAGAGCAUCUGAGCUAGCAUCAGCAAGAGAGAAGGAACGGCAACUUCAGAUGGGACUCACAGACUUGAAGACGCUACUUAAGAAUGAAAGGAAGAAGGUUCUUAAGAUCCAGGAGCAGGUGCUUCAUCUACAGCAAGAAAGGAAGUCUGUGGAUCACAACGGGCAGUUGCUUCGAUCACAACUAAGCAUUUUAACAGAAAGACAUGCUGAAGUUCAAAUGGAAAAUUACAAAUUACAAACAGAGAAAACUCAUCUAGUAGAAUACAUUUCUCACUUACAUAAACAGAUUGCUGUAAAAGAAAAGAAGAUCAAUUUUCUGCACAGUCAUGCUAACAACCUGUCAUGUGAUCUCAACAUCUUGAAAUCUCAGGUCAAUACGGCCUCUAGUUUGCAAGAAGAAAAAUGGAAAGAAUUUUCCAAUAUAUUAACAGCAAAAAGUGCAUAAAGCAGCUCACUUUAGGAACCACCUGUAUCUGGUCUACUUUAAAUCAUGCUAGAACAUUUCCUCAAAUUAAGGAAGCAUUUGGGACUAUUCUGCUGAGCCAAAUUCUUCCAAGGGCACUAUUCAGAAAUAAAUAAAACUUAGUUUUCA
This 1437-nucleotide long non-coding RNA is filed under the name Salvator merianae (Argentine black and white tegu). RNAcentral's name for it is "lncRNA (ENSSMRG00000010963.1)". Lineage: Eukaryota; Metazoa; Chordata; Lepidosauria; Squamata; Teiidae. The record is from RNAcentral.